This 1358-nucleotide ribosomal RNA is filed under the name uncultured bacterium. RNAcentral describes it as "bacterial SSU rRNA". It matches the Rfam family "Bacterial small subunit ribosomal RNA", at positions 28 to 1381 of the family's 1533-position model. The record is from RNAcentral.
GAUGAACGCUAGCUACAGGCUUAACACAUGCAAGUCGAGGGGCAGCAUGGUCUUAGCUUGCUAAGGCCGAUGGCGACCGGCGCACGGGUGAGUAACACGUAUCCAACCUGCCGUCUACUCUUGGACAGCCUUCUGAAAGGAAGAUUAAUACAAGAUGGCAUCAUGAGUCCACAUGUUCACAUGAUUAAAGGUAUUCCGGUAGACGAUGGGGAUGCGUUCCAUUAGAUAGUAGGCGGGGUAACGGCCCACCUAGUCUUCGAUGGAUAGGGGUUCUGAGAGGAAGGUCCCCCACAUUGGAACUGAGACACGGUCCAAACUCCUACGGGAGGCAGCAGUGAGGAAUAUUGGUCAAUGGGCGAGAGCCUGAACCAGCCAAGUAGCGUGAAGGAUGACUGCCCUAUGGGUUGUAAACUUCUUUUAUAAAGGAAUAAAGUCGGGUAUGGAUACCCGUUUGCAUGUACUUUAUGAAUAAGGAUCGGCUAACUCCGUGCCAGCAGCCGCGGUAAUACGGAGGAUCCGAGCGUUAUCCGGAUUUAUUGGGUUUAAAGGGAGCGUAGAUGGAUGUUUAAGUCAGUUGUGAAAGUUUGCGGCUCAACCGUAAAAUUGCAGUUGAUACUGGAUAUCUUGAGUGCAGUUGAGGCAGGCGGAAUUCAUGGUGUAGCGGUGAAAUGCUUAGAUAUCACGAAGAACUCCGAUUGCGAAGGCAGCCUGCUAAGCUGCAACUGACAUUGAGGCUCGAAAGUGUGGGUAUCAAACAGGAUUAGAUACCCUGGUAGUCCACACGGUAAACGAUGAAUACUCGCUGUUUGCGAUAUACAGCAAGCGGCCAAGCGAAAGCGUUAAGUAUUCCACCUGGGGAGUACGCCGGCAACGGUGAAACUCAAAGGAAUUGACGGGGGCCCGCACAAGCGGAGGAACAUGUGGUUUAAUUCGAUGAUACGCGAGGAACCUUACCCGGGCUUAAAUUGCAGAUGAAUUACGGUGAAAGCCGUAAGCCGCAAGGCAUCUGUGAAGGUGCUGCAUGGUUGUCGUCAGCUCGUGCCGUGAGGUGUCGGCUUAAGUGCCAUAACGAGCGCAACCCUUGUUGUCAGUUACUAACAGGUUCCGGUGAGGACUCUGACAAGACUGCCAUCGUAAGAUGUGAGGAAGGUGGGGAUGACGUCAAAUCAGCACGGCCCUUACGUCCGGGGCUACACACGUGUUACAAUGGGGGGUACAGAGGGCCGCUACCACGCGAGUGGAUGCCAAUCCCAAAAACCUCUCUCAGUUCGGACUGGAGUCUGCAACCCGACUCCACGAAGCUGGAUUCGCUAGUAAUCGCGCAUCAGCCACGGCGCGGUGAAUACGUUCCCGGGCCU